CAAUAGCGUAUAUUAAAGUUGUUGCAGUUAGAACGCUCGUAGUCGGAUUUCGGGGCAGUCCGACCGGUCUGCCGAUGGGUAUGCACUGGCCGGAGUGUCCUUUUUGCCGGAGACCGUGCCUACUCUUAACUGAGCGGGGGCGGGCGACGGCACUUUUACUUUGAAAAAAUCAGAGUGUUUCAAGCAGGCAGCUCGCUCUUGCAUGGAUUAGCAUGGGAUAAUGAAAUAGGACUUUGGUGCUAUUUUGUUGGUUUCGAACACCGAAGUAAUGAUGAGAAGGGACAGUCAGGGGCACUCGUAUUCCGCAGAGAGAGGUGAAAUUCUCAGACCCGCGGAAGACGAACCACUGCGAAAGCAUUUGCCAGGGAUGUUUUCACUGA
RNAcentral lists this ribosomal RNA (380 nucleotides) under uncultured eukaryote. RNAcentral's name for it is "partial 18S ribosomal RNA". It matches the Rfam family "Eukaryotic small subunit ribosomal RNA", at positions 592 to 976 of the family's 1831-position model. The record is from RNAcentral.